UACGGAGGAUGCAAGCGUUAUCCGGAUUCAUUGGGUUUAAAGGGUGCGCAGGUGGGCUUGUAAGUCAGUGGUGAAAUGCUGCCGCUUAACGGUAGAAUUGCCAUUGAUACUGCAAGUCUUGAAUAUAGUUGAGGUAGGCGGAAUGUGUUGUGUAGCGGUGAAAUGCAUAGAUAUGACACAGAACACCGAUUGCGAAGGCAGCUUACUAAGCUAUUAUUGACGCUGAGGCACGAAAGCGUGGGGAUCGAACAGGAUUAGAUACCCUGGUAGUCCACGCCGUAAACGAUGAUCACUCGCUGUUUGCGAUACACAGUAAGCGGCUGAGCGAAAGCAUUAAGUGAUCCACCUGGGGAGUACGAUCGCAAGGUUGAAACUCAAAGGAAUUGACGGGGGCCCGCACAAGCGGAGGAACAUGUGGUUUAAUUCGAUGAUACGCGAGGAACCUUACCUGGGCUUAAAUGUAGGAUGCAUGAGGUGGAAACACUUCUUUUCUUCGGAACUUCUUACAAGGUGCUGCAUGGUUGUCGUCAGCUCGUGCCGUGAGGUGUCGGGUUAAGUCCCAUAACGAGCGCAACCCUUACCGUUAGUUGCCAUCAGGUAAUGCUGGGGACUCUAGCGGGACUGCCACCGUAAGGUGAGAGGAAGGUGGGGAUGACGUCAAAUCAGCACGGCCCUUAUGUCCAGGGCUACACACGUGUUACAAUGGUCGGUACAAAGGGCAGCUACACUGCGAAGUGAUGCUAAUCCCAAAAGCCGAUCCCAGUUCGGAUUGGAGUCUGCAACCCGACUCCAUGAAGUUGGAUUCGCUAGUAAUCGCGCAUCAGCCAUGGCGCGGUGAAUACGUUCCCGGGCCU
RNAcentral lists this ribosomal RNA (854 nucleotides) under uncultured bacterium. Its description in RNAcentral is "SSU rRNA". It matches the Rfam family "Bacterial small subunit ribosomal RNA", at positions 524 to 1381 of the family's 1533-position model. The record is from RNAcentral.